UUGACCAAAACUUAGGCAUGGCAUGCAACUUGUAACUUUCCUUAAGAAAAUACAAGUAGUUGAUUCGUGCAAUCCAUGAGACUUUUUUUUUUUCGUCAGGUAAUUUUACAUGUUUAUAUGUAAAAAUUUCUGCAUGGUAUUGUUGAUAGUUGUAACUUGUGAGUCUUGUGAUGUGACUCUACUUGAUUUCUAGUUGAUGUACUUUAAUAAAUCUUAAGCCACUUGUUUUAUGUUUUACCUUACAUGUCUUAGUCAUUACACGUGAACUUACUACUUUCAUAUGUAAAAUGAAAAAGAUAAUAUUUAUAUUCUAUCAUAAUUUCAAAAAAUGCAGAAUAACAUUAAUUAUAUCAAACACCAAAGUUGUUCAAAGUUAUGAGAAAAUCAUAAAUACACAUACAUGCAUUUAUAAUGAACAUGUGAACACAUUCGCAUAUAAUUCCUUAUUCUUUUUAAUUUAUGCAGUUACAAAUUAGUAAAUUACUAAAAGGAUUAUUUAUUGAAAAUGUAAUGACCAAAGACUAAAUUUUAAGUAGUAAAAAGGUGCUUUGUUACGUGUAUAUAGAUUCGAUUGCUUGUGUUGCUAGAGUGUGUCUUGACUUGAACAUAUAUUUUUAUAGAAUUAAGGUAAUUUCAAAAGUAUGGUUCAGUCACUGAAAGAUGAAUCAAGCAUGAUCUAUACUUGUUUAUACAAGUCCCAUUUGUUUUUACCUUGUUAUAUAUCAUUUCUUGAUAUUGGCAAUGAAAUAGUAGCUCGUCUUAAAUUAUGUCUUGGAUUUGUUAAUUUUUAACUCUUACUGGAUUCCUUUCCUAGGCUAGCUAUGACCCUCCGGACUCUGAUGACGAUUAUUCUGAGGACUGAUGAUGAUUAUUCUGAGGACUCUGAUGACGAGUUGAUUGAUCUCAACAAAGUUCGACAAAUCUGGUGAUGCCCUUUCAUCUAUGUCUUCGGAUUUGAUUCAUGACAACAAAUGAGAUCCAAUGGAUGGUGCUGCACGGGUUAUAUAUUCUUGGGUUAUAGGAUUGAAAGAACAAGUUAUUUCGAAUUAUUCAGUGGGGACAAUAGUUUGUUUUUGAAUCGCAGAUUUCUAGUGUGCUAUAAUGGUGACAAUUGAUAAUCAUGAUAUUCGGUUUGUGCCAGUACUUCAAUCUCCAGUUGUAGCAUGUUCUAACUUUUGACUCCUCCUCUGCUUUGCAUUCGGGUAUUGUUUCUUAAAACUUUAUGUAGUGUAAAUUGUGGGAUUAUUCAUUGAGUUUUUUUCACGAUGUUUUCAUUGUUUCC
Molecule: long non-coding RNA, 1282 nt
Organism: Rhododendron vialii
Lineage: Eukaryota; Viridiplantae; Streptophyta; Magnoliopsida; Ericales; Ericaceae
Exons: 2
Source: RefSeq, a predicted model, not a curated record